Molecule: ribosomal RNA, 601 nt
Filed under: uncultured Lachnospiraceae bacterium
Lineage: Bacteria; Bacillati; Bacillota; Clostridia; Lachnospirales; Lachnospiraceae
Description: bacterial SSU rRNA
Rfam family: Bacterial small subunit ribosomal RNA
Source: RNAcentral
GGAUCUCUUCGGAUUGAAACUUAUCUGAGUGAGCGGCGGACGGGUGAGUAACGCGUGGGUAACCUGCCUCAUACAGGGGGAUAACAGUUAGAAAUGGCUGCUACUACCGCAUAAGCGCACAGGACCGCAUGGUCUGGUGUGAAAAACUCCGGUGGUAUGAGAUGGACCCGCGUCUGAUUAGCUAGUUGGAGGGGUAACGGCCCACCAAGGCGACGAUCAGUAGCCGGCCUGAGAGGGUGAACGGCCACAUUGGGACUGAGACACGGCCCAGACUCCUACGGGAGGCAGCAGUGGGGAAUAUUGCACAAUGGGGGAAACCCUGAUGGCAGCGACGCCGCGUGAAGGAAGAAGUAUCUCGGUAUGUAAACUUCUAUCAGCAGGGAAGAAAAUGACGGUACCUGACUAAGAAGCCCCGGCUAACUACGUGCCAGCAGCCGCGGUAAUACGUAGGGGGCAAGCGUUAUCCGGAUUUACUGGGUGUAAAGGGAGCGUAGACGGAAGAGCAAGUCUGAUGUGAAAGGCUGGGGCUUAACCCCAGGACUGCAUUGGAACUGUUUUUCUAGAGUGCCGGAGAGGUAAGUGGAAUUCCUAGUGUAGCGGU